AUUGAACGCUGGCGGCAUGCUUUACACAUGCAAGUCGAACGGCAGCGGGGAGGAGCUUGCUUCUCUGCCGGCGAGUGGCGAACGGGUGAGUAAUACAUCGGAACGUGUCGAGAAGAGGGGGAUAACCACCCGAAAGGGUGGCUAAUACCGCAUAAAUUCUGAGGAAGAAAGCUGGGGACCUAGGAAUAGGCCUAGCGCUUUUUGAGCGUCCGAUGUCGGAUUAGCUAGUUGGUGAGGUAAAGGCUCACCAAGGCGAAGAUCUGUAGCGGGUCUGAGAGGAUGAUCCGCCACACUGGGACUGAGACACGGCCCAGACUCCUACGGGAGGCAGCAGUGGGGAAUUUUGGACAAUGGGGGCAACCCUGAUCCAGCCAUGCCGCGUGUAUGAAGAAGGCCUUAGGGUUGUAAAGUACUUUUGUUAGAGAAGAAAAGUCAGCUGUGAAUAAUGGCUGAUACUGACGGUACCUAAAGAAUAAGCACCGGCUAACUACGUG
Molecule: ribosomal RNA, 494 nt
Filed under: uncultured bacterium
Lineage: Bacteria
Description: partial 16S ribosomal RNA
Rfam family: Bacterial small subunit ribosomal RNA
Source: RNAcentral